Small nuclear RNA from Ictidomys tridecemlineatus (thirteen-lined ground squirrel), 157 nucleotides. Its record names the gene U1. It matches the Rfam family "U1 spliceosomal RNA". Rfam says of the family: U1 is a small nuclear RNA (snRNA) component of the spliceosome (involved in pre-mRNA splicing). The record is from Ensembl. NCBI's taxonomy places the organism in Eukaryota, Metazoa, Chordata, Mammalia, Rodentia, Sciuridae.
AUACUUACCUGGCAGGGGAGAUACCAUGAUCAUGAACAUGAUUUUCCCUGGGCAAGGCGUAUCCAUUGCUCUCCAGAUAGGAUACCCCUGCAGUUUCUCAAGGUUAAGAAACUCAGAAUAAUUUGUGGUAAUAAGGGACUGCUUUCACACUUUCUGG